GAUGAAGAACGCAGCAAAAUGCGAUAAGUAAUGUGAAUUGCAGAAUUCAGUGAAUCAUCGAAUCUUUGAACGCACAUUGCGCCCGCCAGUAUUCUGGCGGGCAUGCCUGUUCGAGCGUCAUUUCAACCCUCAAGCCCUCGGGUUUGGUGUUGGGGAUCGGCGAGCCUUUCUGGCAAGCCGGCCCCGAAAUCUAGUGGCGGUCUCGCUGCAGCCUCCAUUGCGUAGUAGUAAAACCCUCGCAACUGGAACGCGGCGCGGCCAAGCCGUUAAACCCCCAACUUCUGAAUGUUGACCUCGGAUCAGGUAGGAAUACCCGCUGAACUUAAGCAUAUCAUAAGCGGAGGA
This 345-nucleotide unclassified non-coding RNA is filed under the name soil metagenome. RNAcentral describes it as "partial contains 5.8S ribosomal RNA, internal transcribed spacer 2, and large subunit ribosomal RNA". The stretch from base 1 to 120 matches the Rfam family "5.8S ribosomal RNA", at positions 35 to 154 of the family's 154-position model. The record is from RNAcentral.